UGCCAGACUCCUACGGGAGGCAGCAGUGGGGAAUAUUGGGCAAUGGGCGCAAGCCUGACCCAGCAACGCCGCGUGAAGGAAGAAGGCCCUCGGGUUGUAAACUUCUUUUAUCAGGGACGAAACAAAUGACGGUACCUGAUGAAUAAGCCACGGCUAACUACGUGCCAGCAGCCGCGGUAAUACGUAGGUGGCAAGCGUUAUCCGGAUUUACUGGGUGUAAAGGGCGUGUAGGCGGGUCUGCAAGUCAGAUGUGAAAUUCCAGGGCUCAACCCAUAGCCUGCAUUUGAAACUGUACUUCUUGAGUGCUGGAGAGGCAAUCGGAAUUCCGUGUGUAGCGGUGAAAUGCGUAGAUAUACGGAGGAACACCAGUGGCGAAGGCGGAUUGCUGGACAGUAACUGACGCUGAGGCGCGAAAGCGUGGGGAGCAAACAGGAUUAGAUACCCGCGUA
This 449-nucleotide ribosomal RNA is filed under the name uncultured bacterium. RNAcentral describes it as "partial 16S ribosomal RNA". It matches the Rfam family "Bacterial small subunit ribosomal RNA", at positions 329 to 792 of the family's 1533-position model. The record is from RNAcentral.